CGCUCUAGAUUGUCUCGGAUAUCGACCUGCAACUACAGUCAAAGUUAUUACUCCCUCCACUGGCACAGCAUCGCCAGUAAACCCUACCAACGGGGAGCUAAUCGGCCCUAACCGACCAUCAGGGAUGGAUAUUUUUGAGAAUGCAUCGUAAAACAAAAUAUCGACCGAGCUUUCACUAUCAACAAGAAUGCGGCGUACAUCAUAAUCAGCAAUAUUUAAAGAAACUACAACUGCAUCAUUAUGGAGGAAUUGGAUCUCCCGGGCAUCUUCUUCAGUAAAGGUUAUAGAUCCUUCAGUUCUUUGCUGCUUGAGCGGUCCGGUCAAUCCACUGGCCGUCCCCUUCGAGGCCCUCUAGAGAUGGUGUUGAUGAUCCCGAUUGGACAUCGAUCUUCAGGCUGUUCUUCCCUCCUUGGUGGCUCCAGUUGUGGCAGGACCAUCGGCCGAUCCUCCCUACCUUCAGGCCGGCGUCAGAUGAAUCUAUCGAGCCGAUCCCGCCUGAUGAGCUCCUCGAUUUCAUCUCGAAGCUGAAUACACUCCUUCGUGUCAUGGCCGUGG
Molecule: long non-coding RNA, 555 nt
Filed under: Elaeis guineensis (African oil palm)
Lineage: Eukaryota; Viridiplantae; Streptophyta; Magnoliopsida; Arecales; Arecaceae
Description: long non-coding RNA (EGUI_LNC068960)
Source: RNAcentral